This is a long non-coding RNA of Cervus elaphus (red deer), 162 nucleotides long. RefSeq lists it as uncharacterized. Lineage: Eukaryota; Metazoa; Chordata; Mammalia; Artiodactyla; Cervidae. The record is from RefSeq and is a predicted model, not a curated record. The transcript is spliced from 3 exons.
AUUCAGUUGGUAAUAUUUUUCCCUUUCUCUCUUGUCUUUCACUUCUCUUCUUUGCUCAGCUAUUUGUAAAGUCUCCUCAGACAACCACUCUGCCUUCUUGCAUUUCAUUUUUCUUGGGGAUGGAUUUGGUCACCACCUCCCAUACAAUGCUAUUAACCUCCA